GACGAACGCUGGCGGCGUGCUUAACACAUGCAAGUCGAACGGUCCUGUUUUUGAAGCGUUUCGGCGUGGAGGGGACGGGGCAGUGGCGCACGGGUGAGUAAUGCGCGAGGACCUGCCCGCAGGAGGGGGACAGCAGUUGGAAACGGCUGGUGAUACCCCGUAGGCCGGGAGGUAAAAGGGCGGAGACGCCCGCCUGCGGAUGGACUCGCGUCCUAUCAGCUAGUUGGUGAGGCAACGGCUCACCAAGGCGACGACGGGUAGCCGGCCUGAGAGGGUGUCCGGCCACACUGGAACUGAGACACGGUCCAGACUCCUACGGGAGGCAGCAGUGGGGAAUUUUGGACAAUGGGCGCAAGCCUGAUCCAGCCAUGCCGCGUGCAGGAUGAAGGCCUUCGGGUUGUAAACUGCUUUGUACGGUAACGAAAGAACUCUUCUAAUAAAGAAGGGUCCAUGACGGUACCGUAAGAAUAAGCACCGGCUAACUACGUG
Molecule: ribosomal RNA, 489 nt
Filed under: uncultured bacterium
Lineage: Bacteria
Description: bacterial SSU rRNA
Rfam family: Bacterial small subunit ribosomal RNA
Source: RNAcentral